AACAAGGUUUCUGUAGGUGAACCUGCGGAAGGAUCAUUGU
RNAcentral lists this ribosomal RNA (40 nucleotides) under Begonia aptera. Its description in RNAcentral is "partial 18S ribosomal RNA". The record is from RNAcentral. Lineage: Eukaryota; Viridiplantae; Streptophyta; Magnoliopsida; Cucurbitales; Begoniaceae.